Molecule: ribosomal RNA, 373 nt
Filed under: uncultured Bacteroidota bacterium
Lineage: Bacteria; Pseudomonadati; Bacteroidota
Description: bacterial SSU rRNA
Rfam family: Bacterial small subunit ribosomal RNA
Source: RNAcentral
UAAUACGGAGGGUGCAAGCGUUAUCCGGAUUCAUUGGGUUUAAAGGGUGCGUAGGCGGAAUUUUAAGUCAGUGGUGAAAGCCUGCAGCUUAACUGUAGAAUUGCCAUUGAUACUAUUGUUCUUGAGUGAAGUUGAAGUGGGCGGAAUGUGUCAUGUAGCGGUGAAAUGCAUAGAGAUGACACGGAACACCGAUAGCGAAGGCAGCUCACUAAGCUUUAACUGACGCUGAGGCACGAAAGCGUGGGGAGCGAACAGGAUUAGAUACCCUGGUAGUCCACGCCGUAAACGAUGAUUACUCGAUGUGUGCGAUAUACAGUACGCGUCCAAGCGAAAGCGUUAAGUAAUCCACCUGGGGAGUACGUUCGCAAGAAUG